RNAcentral lists this unclassified non-coding RNA (296 nucleotides) under Hevea brasiliensis (rubber tree). Lineage: Eukaryota; Viridiplantae; Streptophyta; Magnoliopsida; Malpighiales; Euphorbiaceae. The record is from RNAcentral.
CUUUCCAACUCAAAAAAAGGCAAACAAGAUGGAAAUAAUGGAGUUAAGUGCAAAAUAUGGCUCUAUGGGGUACUUCGAGUCUACAAGUUCCAUUCACAGCAUGACAAAUUUUUAGAAGGGUUGAAACUGUCUGCUAAAGCAGAAAGCAUCUAUGGUAAAAAAAAAAAACUGGCCAGCAGCCACUCUAAUUCUUCCUAACAUCGCCCCCAACUCCAUCACCUUAACCAAUAGGGUGUCGUCUCCUCUUCGGUCGGCCUCGGUCUUCCUCAUAAUCCAUCACUCCACCAGAUUCAGAG